Molecule: non-coding RNA, 104 nt
Organism: Chlorocebus sabaeus (green monkey)
Lineage: Eukaryota; Metazoa; Chordata; Mammalia; Primates; Cercopithecidae
Source: RefSeq, a predicted model, not a curated record
AUCUAUUUUUGUGGUUCAUAAAGCCACGAUGAUUGGGUUUCCACAUUCUUGUGAGAUUGGCCUCCCUCAAACUGUAUUAUGAUGUCAGCACAUUACCCUUGAUG